CCUACGGGAGGCUGCAGUGGGGGAUAUUGCACAAUGGGGGGAACCCUGAUGCAGCGACGCCGCGUAGGUGAAGAAGCGCCUCGGCGCGUAGAGCCCUGUCAGCAGGGAAGAACGUGACGGUACCUGAAGAAGAAGCCCCAGCUAACUACGUGCCAGCAGCCGCGGUAGUACGUAGGGGGCAAGCGUUAUCCGGAUUUACUGGGGGUAAAGGGGGCGCAGACGGCGAGGCAAGCCAGGAGUGAAAGCCCGGGGCCCAACCCCGGGACUGAUCUUGGAACUGCGUGGCGGGAGUGCAGGAGGGGCAGGCGGAAUGCGUGGUGUAGCGGUGAAAUGCGUAGAUAUCAGGAGGAACACCGGUGGCGAAGGCGGCCUGCUGGACUGCAACUGACGUUGAGGCCCGAAAGCGUGGGGAGCAAACAGGAUUAGAUACCCGAGUAGUC
This 440-nucleotide ribosomal RNA is filed under the name uncultured bacterium. Its description in RNAcentral is "partial 16S ribosomal RNA". It matches the Rfam family "Bacterial small subunit ribosomal RNA", at positions 338 to 795 of the family's 1533-position model. The record is from RNAcentral.